RNAcentral lists this transfer RNA (86 nucleotides) under bacterium. RNAcentral's name for it is "tRNA-Leu". It matches the Rfam family "tRNA". From Rfam's summary of the family: Transfer RNA (tRNA) molecules are approximately 80 nucleotides in length. Their secondary structure includes four short double-helical elements and three loops (D, anti-codon, and T loops). Further hydrogen bonds mediate the characteristic L-shaped molecular structure. tRNAs have two regions of fundamental functional importance: the anti-codon, which is responsible for specific mRNA codon recognition, and the 3' end, to which the tRNAs corresponding amino acid is attached (by aminoacyl-tRNA synthetases). tRNAs cope with the degeneracy of the genetic code in two manners: having more than one tRNA (with a specific anti-codon) for a particular amino acid; and 'wobble' base-pairing, i.e. permitting non-standard base-pairing at the 3rd anti-codon position. The record is from RNAcentral.
GCCGGGGUGGUGAAACUGGUAGACACGCAUGCCUUAGGAGCAUGUACCCUUGUGGUGUGGAGGUUCAAGUCCUCUCUCCGGCACAA